AUGCUGACUUCAACAGCACAUAUAUUAAAUGUGGAUCAAUACAAAGAAAUUUAGCAAGGCCCCUGAGCAGGGAAGACAUACAAAAUUGUGACACAUUCCAUAAGUUU
Molecule: small nuclear RNA, 107 nt
Organism: Meriones unguiculatus (Mongolian gerbil)
Lineage: Eukaryota; Metazoa; Chordata; Mammalia; Rodentia; Muridae
Source: Ensembl